Molecule: non-coding RNA, 710 nt
Organism: Cinara cedri
Lineage: Eukaryota; Metazoa; Arthropoda; Insecta; Hemiptera; Aphididae
Source: the annotation of a GenBank genome assembly
CUUAAAUAUGAUCUAAAAAUAAAUUAUAUCUAAUACUCUUAAAAAAAAAAAAAAACAAUAAACAAAUGAGCAUAUGCAUUUUAAAUGUUAUGAUAUUUUAACUUUGAGUCUUGGCUUUUGUUUGUAAAAGUGUAAAUAGUGUAAGAAAAAUGCCGUUAACUUAUUGUGUGCUUGGAUGUGCCAAUCGUUAUGGUUGUGAUAAAGUGGUUUUUUCAAACAUGUAUCAGUAGUUUCAACAUGGUCACCUAUACAUACAAUUUUACUACAUUGUAUUUAAAAUACAAAUAUUUACUUAUUACUGAAAAUAUUUUCGAGUUCAUGAAUUAUGAUACAAUUUAUCUUUGGAUAAUCACAACAAUAAAAAUUGAUAAAAUACCAUAGCCCUCAACCAAUAUAGCGGAAAAGCGGCGUCACUCGGCCUGCUUGUGGAUUUUACUAGUGGGCAAUGUUGUUUAUUAUCUAUAUCUGUGAUUGGGCCUUACCCAAUAUCGGCAAUUAUUCAGCUUGUUAAAAUAUCCGUUGAUAUGAAAAUGAGCUAUUUUUGUAAGCCACUUAACCAGUAGUUACUAAGUAAUCGCUCAAUAAAAAAAUUAAAUAUAAACAUAGCAAACAAUAUACAUAUUAUUAUAUUUAUAUAAUAUUUGUUAUAUAUUAUCAAUUUAAGAACGAUGGUGAUGUCAGCAUUAAGUGGACUGAUCUAGUUUCAAAAU